RNAcentral lists this transfer RNA (77 nucleotides) under Clostridia bacterium. RNAcentral describes it as "tRNA-Arg". It matches the Rfam family "tRNA". From Rfam's summary of the family: Transfer RNA (tRNA) molecules are approximately 80 nucleotides in length. Their secondary structure includes four short double-helical elements and three loops (D, anti-codon, and T loops). Further hydrogen bonds mediate the characteristic L-shaped molecular structure. tRNAs have two regions of fundamental functional importance: the anti-codon, which is responsible for specific mRNA codon recognition, and the 3' end, to which the tRNAs corresponding amino acid is attached (by aminoacyl-tRNA synthetases). tRNAs cope with the degeneracy of the genetic code in two manners: having more than one tRNA (with a specific anti-codon) for a particular amino acid; and 'wobble' base-pairing, i.e. permitting non-standard base-pairing at the 3rd anti-codon position. The record is from RNAcentral. Lineage: Bacteria; Bacillati; Bacillota; Clostridia.
GUGCCGUUGGCUCAAUUGGAUAGAGCAUCACACUACGGAUGUGAGGGUUAGGGGUUCAAGUCCUCUACGGCACGCCA